UCACAUAAUCAUAUAGCUUUU
This 21-nucleotide non-coding RNA is filed under the name Caenorhabditis elegans. Lineage: Eukaryota; Metazoa; Nematoda; Chromadorea; Rhabditida; Rhabditidae. The record is from RNAcentral.